AUUGAACGCUGGCGGCAUGCCUUACACAUGCAAGUCGAACGGUAACAGGUCUUCGGAUGCUGACGAGUGGCGAACGGGUGAGUAAUACAUCGGAACGUGCCUAGUAGUGGGGGAUAACUACUCGAAAGAGUGGCUAAUACCGCAUGAGAUCUACGGAUGAAAGCAGGGGAUCGCAAGACCUUGUGCUACUAGAGCGGCCGAUGGCAGAUUAGGUAGUGGGUGGGAUAAAAGCUUACCAAGCCGACGAACUGUAGCUGGGCUGAGAGGACGAUCAGCCAAACUGGGACUGAGAAACGGCCCAGACUCCUACGGGAGGCAGCAGUGGGGAAUUUUGAACAAUGGUCGCAAGCCUGAUCCAGCAAUGCCGCGUGCAGGAUGAAGGCCUUCGGGUUGUAAACUGCUUUUGUACGGAACGAAAAGCCCCGGGUUAAUACCCUGGAGUCAUGACGGUACCGUAAGAAUAAGCACCGGCUAACUACGUGCCAGCCGCCGCAGUAA
This 498-nucleotide ribosomal RNA is filed under the name uncultured bacterium. Its description in RNAcentral is "partial 16S ribosomal RNA". It matches the Rfam family "Bacterial small subunit ribosomal RNA", at positions 30 to 523 of the family's 1533-position model. The record is from RNAcentral.